This 253-nucleotide ribosomal RNA is filed under the name uncultured bacterium. Its description in RNAcentral is "partial 16S ribosomal RNA". It matches the Rfam family "Bacterial small subunit ribosomal RNA", at positions 524 to 776 of the family's 1533-position model. The record is from RNAcentral.
UACAGAGGUCUCAAGCGUUGUUCGGAUUCAUUGGGCGUAAAGGGUGCGUAGGUGGCGCCGUAAGUCGGGUGUGAAAUUUCGGAGCUUAACUCCGAAACUGCAUUCGAUACUGCGGUGCUUGAGGACUGGAGAGGAGACUGGAAUUCAUGGUGUAGCAGUGAAAUGCGUAGAGAUCAUGAGGAAGACCAGUGGCGAAGGCGGGUCUCUGGACAGUUCCUGACACUGAGACACGAAGGCUAGGGGAGCAAACGGG